UCCGCAAGGGUAAGACCCCAGAAAGACUAUCUGGUUGAUAGGUCGAAGGUGUAAGUGCAGCAAUGUAUUUAGCUUAUCGAUACUAAUAGGUCGAGGACUUGACCAAUAUUUAUUUGAUGUUCAUUCACU
RNAcentral lists this ribosomal RNA (129 nucleotides) under Clostridioides difficile. RNAcentral's name for it is "partial 23S ribosomal RNA". The stretch from base 1 to 106 matches the Rfam family "Bacterial large subunit ribosomal RNA", at positions 2819 to 2925 of the family's 2925-position model. Lineage: Bacteria; Bacillati; Bacillota; Clostridia; Peptostreptococcales; Peptostreptococcaceae. The record is from RNAcentral.